This 111-nucleotide ribosomal RNA is filed under the name Caerostris darwini. Lineage: Eukaryota; Metazoa; Arthropoda; Arachnida; Araneae; Araneidae. The record is from RNAcentral.
AACGGCCGUACCAUGCUGAAUAUACCGGUUCUCGUUAGAUCACCGAAGUCAAGCAUCAUUGGGCGCGGUCAGUACUUGGGUGGGUGACACCCGGGAACACUGCGUGCCGUU